RNAcentral lists this transfer RNA (68 nucleotides) under marine eukaryotic metagenome. It matches the Rfam family "tRNA". Rfam says of the family: Transfer RNA (tRNA) molecules are approximately 80 nucleotides in length. Their secondary structure includes four short double-helical elements and three loops (D, anti-codon, and T loops). The record is from RNAcentral.
CGGGUGUAGCUCAAUUGGUAGAGCGUCAGCCUUCCAAGCUGAAUGUUGCCGGUUCGACCCCGGUCACC